GAUGAACGCUGGCGGCGUGCCUAAUACAUGCAAGUCGAGCGAACAGAUGAGGAGCUUGCUCCUCUGACGUUAGCGGCGGACGGGUGAGUAACACGUGGAUAACCUACCUAUAAGACUGGGAUAACUUCGGGAAACCGGAGCUAAUACCGGAUAAUAUAUUGAACCGCAUGGCUCAAUAGUGAAAGACGGUUUUGCUGUCACUUAUAGAUGGAUCCGCGCCGCAUUAGCUAGUUGGUAAGGUAACGGCUUACCAAGGCGACGAUGCGUAGCCGACCUGAGAGGGUGAUCGGCCACACUGGAACUGAGACACGGUCCAGACUCCUACGGGAGGCAGCAGUAGGGAAUCUUCCGCAAAGGGCGAAAGCCUGACGGAGCAACGCCGCGUGAGUGAUGAAGGUCUUCGGAUCGUAAAACUCUGUUAUUAGGGAAGAACAAAUGUGUAAGUAACUAUGCACGUCUUGACGGUACCUAAUCAGAAAGCCACGGCUAACUACGUG
RNAcentral lists this ribosomal RNA (497 nucleotides) under uncultured bacterium. RNAcentral's name for it is "partial 16S ribosomal RNA". It matches the Rfam family "Bacterial small subunit ribosomal RNA", at positions 28 to 507 of the family's 1533-position model. The record is from RNAcentral.